UGGGAUAUUAUGAGUGUGAGUCACUGUGCCUGGUUUAUCCUUUUUUUUUUUUUUUUUUUUUUUUUCCAGAUGAGAACAUCAAGGCACAGAAAGAUGAAGGAAUUUGUCAAUGGAGCAGCCAGGGUCUGAACCUAGGGCUGUCCCUGCGUUCCCCUGGACUGCACACACACCUGGACCAGGGAGGCAGAGCUGGAGAAGCUCCAGGGUGGUGACCUGCGGGAGGGAUCUGUCUGCUUCCCUCGAGGCCGAUGACCUGUGCCAUUCUUGCCCGUCCCCUCGCCAAGAGGAACUGAGACUAGUGAAAACUGCCCCCGUGGCUUGAGAUGGAUCCUGGGACCCAAAGUGGGGCCCUACAGGCUUCCUGUGUGAUGACCAUGUCUUCUUCCUGCCAGACACUCCCUGCCCCAUCUUAAAACUGGUUGAGAACCUUGUUUUAAUGAUUCAAGCUUUUUCCCUGUCCAAACAUUUUGUUAUGUUCAAGGAAUGCAGAUUGUUAAAGGAAAUAGCUUCUGAAAAAAAAUCUCGCCUGAGUUGUGUGGAAGAACUAUGGAUGCCCUUGCUUUGAGCAGAGACUUGCAAUUUUGAAGAGAACGUAAAUAGGCAGGUGUUGGGGGACAUGGUCCUCAGCCCCCAGCUUCUCCCUGUCCUGUCCCUGGGUGCGGGAUCUUCUUGCUGGCUGGAGGAGGUCUGAGCAGCGAUGUGGUGACUGCUGCGUUGUCUCCUGUGGCGGCUUCCUGGUCUGUUAUAAAGGACAGCUUUUCAGCCACUUUCUCUCUUUGGGCGGAAAAAGAUGGGUGAGAUUUACAAGAACACGUAUUUUUUUUUCCUGAUCAUUAUUCUCCUCCACCUACUACAUGCAG
Molecule: long non-coding RNA, 860 nt
Filed under: Rhinopithecus bieti (black snub-nosed monkey)
Lineage: Eukaryota; Metazoa; Chordata; Mammalia; Primates; Cercopithecidae
Description: lncRNA (ENSRBIG00000046696.1)
Source: RNAcentral